AAAACGGGGAGCUUGUAGACAGGCUGAGAGGAAGGUGUGCCCUUCGACCCAUGAACCUGAUUUGGAUAAUGCCAACGUAGGGAGAC
Molecule: non-coding RNA, 86 nt
Filed under: Candidatus Enterenecus faecium
Lineage: Bacteria; Bacillati; Bacillota; Clostridia; Eubacteriales
Description: TPP riboswitch (THI element)
Rfam family: TPP riboswitch aptamer (THI element)
About the family: Vitamin B(1) in its active form thiamin pyrophosphate (TPP) is an essential coenzyme that is synthesised by coupling of pyrimidine and thiazole moieties in bacteria.
Source: RNAcentral